CAGUAACGGCGAGCGAAGUGGGAAUAGCUCGAGCCUGAAAUCCCCGGCAUUCUGUGCCGGAGAAUUGUGGCCGGGAGAGGCAGCUGUGCCCGGACUGGUGCUGUCCAAGUUGACCUGGAAAGGCACGCCAGAGAGGGUGAGAGCCCCGUGCGUGACACCGCCGGUCUGGGACGCUACUGUCUUCGGAGAGUCGGGUUGUUUGGGAUUGCAGCCCAAAGUGGGUGGUAGACUCCAUCUAAAGCUAAAUACUGGCACGAGACCGAUAGCGAACAAGUACCGUGAGGGAAAGGUGAAAAGUACUUUGAAAAGAGAGUCAAAAAGACCGCGAAACCGUUAGGAGGGAAACGAAUGCRGCUGAAGUGGCUCUCCGUCAGGCUCAGGAGAUGUCGGCGAGUCCUGCUUGGUAUCGGGAGCUGAGAAAGCCGCGGUGCCUCGCUGGGGUUCCCGUCUACUCUGCACUUCUGCGGAGAGCCGGCCAACGGCAGUUGUUCCCGGCUCAGGAGGUCGUGUGUGGGAGGUAGCUCUGCGCUUGCGUGGAGAACGUAUAGCCCCGCGUCUCGGCAGUCUGGGAGCGACUGAGGAGAGUUGCGAAUUUUCGCACGUGCGGUGCAGGCCCUCCGGGGCUGGGCCGCUCCUGUCGGAGGGGAGGCCGAGGCGGUUCACUGCGUGCAGUGUCUGUCGACGGUCCGCUUCGCCGGUGGGAGGCCGGUCACACCUUGCGCCGUGGUUGUUGGUGCCCGAAUGGCUGCAUCCGACCCGUCUUGAAACACGGACCAAGGAGUGCAACAUGCGUGCGAGUCUUGGGGUGGCAAACCCGUCGGCGCAAUGAAAGUGAAGGCAGAUUCUGGUCUGCUGAGGCGAGAGCCUCCCCCGUGGGGGCCCAUCGUCGACCGAUCCCAGGCUACGCUGUGGCGGGAUUUGAGUGAGAGCGUGCCUGUUGCGACCCGAAAGAUGGUGAACUAUGCCUGAAUAGGGCGAAGCCAGAGGAAACUCUGGUGGAAGCUCGCAGCGAUUCUGACGUGCAAAUCGAUCGUCAAAUUUGGGUAUAGGGGCGAAAGACU
Molecule: ribosomal RNA, 1061 nt
Filed under: Monanchora clathrata
Lineage: Eukaryota; Metazoa; Porifera; Demospongiae; Poecilosclerida; Crambeidae
Description: partial large subunit ribosomal RNA
Source: RNAcentral